RNAcentral lists this ribosomal RNA (205 nucleotides) under uncultured bacterium. Its description in RNAcentral is "partial 16S ribosomal RNA". It matches the Rfam family "Bacterial small subunit ribosomal RNA", at positions 568 to 774 of the family's 1533-position model. The record is from RNAcentral.
CGCGUAGGCGGCGCGGUAAGUCACUUGUGAAAUCUCUGAGCUUAACUCAGAACGGCCAAGUGAUACUGCAGUGCUAGAGUGUGGAAGGGGCAAUCGGAAUUCUUGGUGUAGCGGUGAAAUGCGUAGAUAUCAAGAGGAACACCUGAGGUGAAGACGGGUUGCUGGGCCAACACUGACGCUGAGGCGCGAAGCCAGGGAGCAAACG